This 98-nucleotide transfer RNA is filed under the name Camponotus floridanus (Florida carpenter ant). It matches the Rfam family "tRNA". Rfam says of the family: Transfer RNA (tRNA) molecules are approximately 80 nucleotides in length. The record is from Rfam by way of RNAcentral. Lineage: Eukaryota; Metazoa; Arthropoda; Insecta; Hymenoptera; Formicidae.
CCUUCGAUAGCUCAGUUGGUAGAGCGGUGGACUGUAGUUUGAUUGUUUGUGUGAUAAAAGACAUCCAUAGGUCGCUGGUUCGAUUCCGGCUCGAAGGA